Molecule: ribosomal RNA, 497 nt
Filed under: uncultured bacterium
Lineage: Bacteria
Description: partial 16S ribosomal RNA
Rfam family: Bacterial small subunit ribosomal RNA
Source: RNAcentral
GACGAACGCUGGCGGCGUGCCUAAUACAUGCAAGUUGAGCGCUGAAGGUUGGUACUUGUACCAACUGGAUGAGCAGCGAACGGGUGAGUAACGCGUGGGGAAUCUGCCUUUGAGCGGGGGACAACAUUUGGAAACGAAUGCUAAUACCGCAUAAAAACUUUAAACACAAGUUUUAAGUUUGAAAGAUGCAAUUGCAUCACUCAAAGAUGAUCCCGCGUUGUAUUAGCUAGUUGGUGAGGUAAAGGCUCACCAAGGCGAUGAUACAUAGCCGACCUGAGAGGGGGGUCGGCCACAUUGGGACUGGGACACGGCCCAAACCCCUACGGGGAGCAGCAGGAGGGGAUCUUCGGGAAUGGAGGAAAGUCUGACCGAGCAACGCCGCGGGAGGGAAGAAGGGUUUCGGAUCGGAAAAAUCUGUUGGUAGGGAAGAACGAUGGUGAGAGUGGAAAGCUCAUCAAGUGACGGUAACUACCCAGAAAGGGACGGCUAACUACGUG